Molecule: ribosomal RNA, 767 nt
Filed under: uncultured bacterium
Lineage: Bacteria
Description: bacterial SSU rRNA
Rfam family: Bacterial small subunit ribosomal RNA
Source: RNAcentral
UGCUUUUGAUGGGCGUCGACCGGCGCACGGGUGAGUAACGCGUAUCCAACCUGCCCACCACUUGGGGAUAACCUUGCGAAAGUAAGACUAAUACCCAAUGACGUCUCUAGAAGACAUCUGAAAGAGAUUAAAGAUUUAUCGGUGAUGGAUGGGGAUGCGUCUGAUUAGCUUGUUGGCGGGGUAACGGCCCACCAAGGCGACGAUCAGUAGGGGUUCUGAGAGGAAGGUCCCCCACAUUGGAACUGAGACACGGUCCAAACUCCUACGGGAGGCAGCAGUGAGGAAUAUUGGUCAAUGGACGAGAGUCUGAACCAGCCAAGUAGCGUGCAGGAUGACGGCCCUAUGGGUUGUAAACUGCUUUUAUAAGGGAAUAAAGUGAGUCUCGUGAGACUUUUUGCAUGUACCUUAUGAAUAAGGACCGGCUAAUUCCGUGCCAGCAGCCGCGGUAAUACGGAAGGUCCGGGCGUUAUCCGGAUUUAUUGGGUUUAAAGGGAGCGUAGGCCGGAGAUUAAGCGUGUUGUGAAAUGUAGACGCUCAACGUCUGCACUGCAGCGCGAACUGGUUUCCUUGAGUACGCACAAAGUGGGCGGAAUUCGUGGUGUAGCGGUGAAAUGCUUAGAUAUCACGAAGAACUCCGAUUGCGAAGGCAGCUCACUGGAGCGCAACUGACGCUGAAGCUCGAAAGUGCGGGUAUCGAACAGGAUUAGAUACCCUGGUAGUCCGCACGGUAAACGAUGGAUGCCCGCUGUUGGUCUGAAUAGGUCAGC